CAGGGAUUCAGCCAGCUGAAACAAGGAUGCCCUCAAGCUGGAGAGUCUGAUGAGGACCUGACAUCCCAUCACUUGUCAUCCUUUCCUGAUCCUCUGCGUGAUCCUCACUGCUCUCAAACUCUACCGCCUCGUCUGGACCCUGGUGAGAGCCGCAACUUCUCCCUAUGACCCUCUCCUCAACCAGUCGUCCACUCCACACCAGAAAAAGCCUGCCUUGGUUCCGGACCUGGUCACUGCGGUCUGAGUGAGUGUGCAUCUGCUGGACUCAAAGCCUAAGGCUUAAGACUUUUGAACUUAGCAUGCAGAGGAAAUGUCUGUCAUUAGCCUGUCAUGAUUAAGUGUGUUUAUAGUGCUUAGAAUUAAUCUAGAAUUGUUUGCUAUGAAUUGAUUAUGUCUAUUGCAGUGCCUAGCAUUAAGAAUUGUUGUUUUCUUGAUUAAGAACCUAUAGAGUGAAACUGUAUUGAGUAAUUUGAGUGAAUAAAGCAUUGAAAGGGGC
RNAcentral lists this long non-coding RNA (496 nucleotides) under Marmota monax (woodchuck). Lineage: Eukaryota; Metazoa; Chordata; Mammalia; Rodentia; Sciuridae. The record is from RNAcentral.